Molecule: non-coding RNA, 21 nt
Filed under: Arabidopsis thaliana (thale cress)
Lineage: Eukaryota; Viridiplantae; Streptophyta; Magnoliopsida; Brassicales; Brassicaceae
Also listed under: 1 other name
Source: RNAcentral
UACCCGCUGAGUUUAAGCAUA